This is an RNA transcript of Vespula pensylvanica (western yellowjacket), 563 nucleotides long. RefSeq lists it as uncharacterized. The record is from RefSeq and is a predicted model, not a curated record. NCBI's taxonomy places the organism in Eukaryota, Metazoa, Arthropoda, Insecta, Hymenoptera, Vespidae. The transcript has 2 exons.
UUCUCUUUACAUCUCUGUCAGUCUCUUCCUUUCUGUUCGCUCAGGAGAACAUCCCUGAAAACCGUAGUGAUGGUGACUCGCCAACUUGCCUGUUUGCAUGCCUGCACAUCGAUGUUAGCUGCUGAGAAUUGUUACGACAAGUCGAGACAUGGGAAUUGUUGAAGCAGAGGAGAACAUGGUCGUAUGCAGUUAUCAUUGAAGGUGGUGGACACUUGGAUUCUUCGUCAACUUCUUCUCGUCUCCAAUGGUAGAAGAAGGCGGUCUGACGUAAAAGAACGUUUCGCAAGCAACCGAGAAUACGUAAGUACACUGAUCGCGCUCGCCAAACGAGUAUAACGACCUGACUAGAUUUUUCCGAGGAGAGGAAAAUUUAUUCGCCUUCUACCGACUCGUAUAACGUUUGAAUUUAAUAAUCAUGCCUGUCUAACACGCAUAUGUACAUAAGAUCAACUGUGAGUAUGAAUCACCAUUUUCGCACUUAUCUGCCGACUAAUUAGCUCGCAUAAAUAUCAUUAAUAUUUUGCAAUCGUAAAAUAUAUACAUACGUGUUUCAUUUUUCAUCG